Musca domestica (house fly) is the source of this 620-nucleotide long non-coding RNA. RefSeq lists it as uncharacterized. NCBI's taxonomy places the organism in Eukaryota, Metazoa, Arthropoda, Insecta, Diptera, Muscidae. The transcript has 2 exons. The record is from RefSeq and is a predicted model, not a curated record.
CAAUUAAAAAAGGAGUUUAAAUUGUUUUUUAUAAUAUAAACACCAAAAGUAAAAAUGCCAGGGGCUUCAAUACUUGCUGUAAUGGAUGAAGAAAUAAAUCAGCGGUCUACUGAAAAAAUUCGUCGCCGGACAUUGAGGAACGCAUCAGAUCCUUUAUCUCACUCAAAUGCAGAAUUUAUAACUUAUUAUCGGCUAAAUAAAGAAGCUUUUGUUUUAGUUUUGGAAAAAAUUUCUCCCCACCUCAAACGUUCCAAUAUACCGGCUAUUAUCCAGCUUGCAACAAAGCUUAGGUUUUUGGCUACGGGUGCAUUUCAAGGAGUUAUAGGUAGAGAUGUGAAGCUAAGCCUUGGGAGAAGUACAGUUUCUACAAUUAUGUGGAGAAUUAUUAAUGCAAUUGAAGCUGAAAUUUGUCCACAUUGGAUCAAAUUAAGAAUGUCUUCCGAAUUCUUCUUCAACACAUAUGGCAAUAAUUCAACUAUACAAGUCUGCCGUUCAUUUCUGCAUAUUUUUUUGCGUUUUCAUCAUGGAUUAGAAAAAUAAUAGAUUUUUUGUAAAAUAAAUUCCAAAAACAUGUUCAUUCUAAGAGAAUUUGGUUAAUACAAUAUUUUCUGUUAAAUGUA